CUCCAGCCUGGGUGACAGAGUGAGACCCAGUCUUUAAAAAGAAAAGCAAGGAAAAAUGCGUCUCUUCUAUAUAUCUUAACUGGGUAAAUGGAAAAUAGAGUUGGAAGCAUUUCCUCCUCUGCACUGCCACAGCCUCUCUGAAAUUUGAAAUUGCAGGACUGGGAAGAAUUUUGUGUCUGACCCUCUACUUCCCUAUGGGCAAGGACUAAAUCAUUCAUCCUUAUGUCCUCAUCACCUAGACCAUCCCUGGCACAGUGUAUUUAAAGCAUGUUUGCUGAAGGAUGGGAUGAAGGGAUAAAUAAAGUGUAAAAAACAAAGACUGAGAGGAGAUCUGAGUUUAAGCACUACUGGUCAAAAGCUAGCUGGAUGCAUCUGGCAGGUGUUGACAGUCAUACAAAGAAGUGGAUUAACUAGACUCAGGCAUUCAUUGAUUUCCCCCAACAAUCCUUUAUUCUGUAUCCUCUAUGUGCUAGGCACUGUGCUCAUGGCUUGGAGUUUAGCAAUGACCAAGUUCCUGCCCUCUUGAUGGUCCCACUAAGGUUUCAUUUUGUUCCAGUUCUGCUGAAGAUUAGGUUAUUCUCAUACCAAUUAUUUGAAUGGAAUUUGUCCAGUAGUGGAUUUCAAAAUAACUCAAUGCAAAUGCCAGUCAACGUUAGAAAUCCAAACAGACAAAAAAUUUGUUUGGUAAAAAAAAAAAACCAACCACCUGCAUGCCAAAACUUGAAAAAAUUCUGAGCUAUGUAAGGCAAAACACUAGCUUUCAGAAAAAAUGAGAGAGACUGCAGACCGUAUGUUUCAUAUUUACAAUGUUUUCAUUGAGGCAAUGAAUACAAACUAUUCUAUAAGAGCUAUUUAUUUGCUCUUAUUUAUGACAAGCUUAGCUUAAAAAAAGAUACACAAAUAAAUCGUUAGCCGCACUGUCUCAUGCAACUCAUUUCAAUGCAUUCAGCAACAGUCAACCUCUGAAUAAAUCACUGAGAGCUCAAUUUUCAACCUUGAUGUUAUCUUUAGCAUAUUAAAAUAUAUUGUACCUCAGACCAAUAUAAUAAAACAGUAAUGGCAGAAGCUUUUAGUGUAACAUAUUAUAAUGAGAAAAUAAGGAAAAAUAGCCAUUUUCCUUAUUAUAUUACAGACUAGAAUCCUAUUAAAAUAAAUGUCAUCAUUAUACUUGAUUACAUAGGUCAAAAUGUGUCUUCCAAAACCCAGCAAAAGCCCAAGGAUAUAGCUGCUGGUCCAGUAUUUUCCAACAAGUGUCAUGGGGGCAAAGGUGGGAGGCUCCUUAUCUUAGAAAAGGCUAUGAAGUACUUGAGCACCAUUUCAAAAGCAUAACUUAUUAUUCUUUAAUGAUUGCCUUGACUGCACUCACCCAGGAGCGUAGCUGCUGGGAAGGCUAAGCAAAGAGAAGCUUUCUUGACAGCUUCUUAUGGCUAAAGCUGGUAUUUUCCUUUCAAAAAUAAAUGCAAUCAAGAAAUGAAUUAUCUGAUAAGAGAAAAAGUAAGCAAAAGAUUUAAGUGUCUCUUCAACCUGCUAUGUACAAAUGUGGAUUAUGUCACAGCUCUGCUUUCUCCGCCCAAGGUUUAGAGCAGGCAGUGACAUCUUCUUUCUGAUGCAACUGAAAUGAUCUUAAGAUAGAGGCUGCAUUUCAGCAAAAGUACCAGACCUCGAAAGAAGACAGGGCAUACCUAGCAUCAUUUGGAAGAAGAGAGGCAGAAAUUCAAACUUCAAGAAUCACCACCAACUCUACACAUGGCUGCUACUCAGCAGCCAACACAAGACCCAGGAGUGGGAUGGUCAGUGCAGCACGAGGAAGGUGGGCACCGUUAAGCCUAUGUUUAAAUCCACAGACAAUGAAAGAAACACCAUUUUCUAACAGCAAGGACGCAACCACUAUUCUUUUUAAGUUUCUGGAGAAGAAUGAUCUUGACAAACCUACAUAAAAGGUGGAUACACACACAGACACACUCACAUCCAAAAGCACACAUCACAGAGUCACAGAUCAGGCUUUGCUGAGACGGAAGCAGGAUGAACUUUGUCAUGAGAAAGCAAUGGAGCAGAGGGAAGAGCUGAAACACCCCCUGUUGGAAGCACUGACAGCACACAACUGAACAGCGCUGUGGCUGCAGAGGUGACAUGGGGGAGAGCAUGGCAGAAGCAUGGCAGUGGCUACUCAUGCGGGACUACAAAGCCAUAAGCAAUGCUAUGAAGGCAUCUGGGGGUCCUAGUGUCACUACGAAUGGAAAUAAAUAAUAAAAGGUGGGAGAGUAUUAGUUGGAAAAACAACAUUUUGGAGGUUUAGUCAGCAUUAGAAAAAGGUCAAAGUUUCACUGCUUCUGUAUGAAAGUGAAGUGAGAACAAGAGAAAUAGCUAAGACCUAUGUGACAAAUAGGAAUUGAUUGGUUGAUUUUUUUCAGGGUUGGGGAGAAAGGGACGGGACGCAGGUUUGGUUGGAGCUUUGACCUUU
This 2461-nucleotide long non-coding RNA is filed under the name Homo sapiens (human). RNAcentral's name for it is "HSALNT0358496". The record is from RNAcentral. Lineage: Eukaryota; Metazoa; Chordata; Mammalia; Primates; Hominidae.